UGCGGAUUAGCCAAGCGGCAAGGCAGGGGACUUUGACUCCCUGAUUCGUUGGUUCGAGUCCAGCAUCCGCAA
RNAcentral lists this transfer RNA (72 nucleotides) under Bacteriophage sp. RNAcentral describes it as "tRNA-Gln". It matches the Rfam family "tRNA". From Rfam's summary of the family: Transfer RNA (tRNA) molecules are approximately 80 nucleotides in length. Their secondary structure includes four short double-helical elements and three loops (D, anti-codon, and T loops). Further hydrogen bonds mediate the characteristic L-shaped molecular structure. tRNAs have two regions of fundamental functional importance: the anti-codon, which is responsible for specific mRNA codon recognition, and the 3' end, to which the tRNAs corresponding amino acid is attached (by aminoacyl-tRNA synthetases). tRNAs cope with the degeneracy of the genetic code in two manners: having more than one tRNA (with a specific anti-codon) for a particular amino acid; and 'wobble' base-pairing, i.e. permitting non-standard base-pairing at the 3rd anti-codon position. The record is from RNAcentral.